UUGAAACACCAGUUCUCAUACAAUCACCAAAGUUAAGCAAUGUUGAGCCUGGUCAGUACCUAAAUAGGUAACCGCUUGGGAAUACCAGGUGGUGUA
This is a non-coding RNA of Acanthosepion pharaonis, 96 nucleotides long. The record is from the annotation of a GenBank genome assembly. Lineage: Eukaryota; Metazoa; Mollusca; Cephalopoda; Sepiida; Sepiidae.